Molecule: ribosomal RNA, 293 nt
Filed under: uncultured prokaryote
Description: partial 16S ribosomal RNA
Rfam family: Archaeal small subunit ribosomal RNA
Source: RNAcentral
GUGUCAGCAGCCGCGGUAAUACCGGCAGCCCGAGUGAUGGCCGAAAUUAUUGGGCCUAAAGCGUUCGUAGCUGGCCGGACAAGUCCGUUGGGAAAUCUGCUCGCUCAACGAGCAGGCGUCCAGCGGAAACUGUUCGGCUUGGGACCGGAAGACCUGAGGGGUACGUCCGGGGUAGGAGUGAAAUCCUGUAAUCCUGGACGGACCACCGGUGGCGAAAGCGCCUCAGGAAGACGGAUCCGACAGUGAGGGACGAAAGCUAGGGUCUCGAACCGGAUUAGAUACCCCCGUAGUCC